UACGAACCGUCCAAACGUUAUUCGGAAUCACUGGGCUUACAGAGUUCGUAGGCGGUGGGGUAAGUCGGGUGUGAAAGCCCUCGGCCUAACCGAGGAAUUGCGCCCUAAACUGCUUCGCUGGAGGAGGAUAGAGGUGAGCAGAACUGAUGGUGGAGCGGUGAAAUGCGUUGAUAUCAUCAGGAAUACCGGAGGCGAAGGCGGCUCACUGGGGCCUGUCUGACGCUGAGGAACGAAAGCUAGGGGAGCGAACAGG
This 253-nucleotide ribosomal RNA is filed under the name uncultured bacterium. Its description in RNAcentral is "partial 16S ribosomal RNA". It matches the Rfam family "Bacterial small subunit ribosomal RNA", at positions 524 to 776 of the family's 1533-position model. The record is from RNAcentral.